CACAUCAGCAACUCUUCUCUCAAUUUUCCACGUCACUUUUCUCAAUUUUAUGCUCAUGCUACGACGGUUACACUUCUCAAAUUGCAGUUACUUAAGUAUCCUCUUUCUCCUAUUCAUUUCACGUUACAAACUUUCUCCAAAUUCUCUUCAUCAAUUCAUUUCACGUUACAAACUUCCAGCGGUUACUACUCUCCACAUUCAUCUUCCCCAAAUGCUAACCCUAAUUCAAAUACUCAGUACUUCACACAACCUUUCAUCAACCCUUAUCACAACCAUUACCACAAAUUCAUCAUUGGACCGCAACAGAUUCACAACGUGCGGAGCACCGUCAUCGGUGAAAAACAAACCAUGGAGCACGGUUGUGACAUCAGAUUCACGAACAACAAUUUGCGGAUCCGUCAACAAGCUUCCAUUCGCACACUGAUUGAAAAACAAACCAUGGAGCACGGUUGCGACAUCAGAUUCACGAACAACAAUUUGCGGAUCCGUCAACAAGCUUCCAUUCGCACACUGAUUGAAGCAAUUAUUGGGUUUUGUCUGAAUUUUCAGAUAAGGUUUGUUUUUUGAUGCAGAUUAGAUAGAUUCCUUUCAUGUGCAUUUUCUGAUCGGUUUUGCUUGAAUGGGAAAAUAGAGGGAAACAAUGUUGGAAUUUUGAAGGACGGGAACGUGGAAAUUGGAGAUGAAACGGAGAAAUUGAGAACAUAUAAUGGUCCUGUGAAGGAUAAGAAAGUGAAACAGCCAAGUGGUAAAGGUGUGAAUGCAAGUUUAGUGAGAAAGAACAAAGUCGGGAAAGAUGAAGAGGUGGCAGCAACAGCGGCUGUUUCGAAUGGUACUUUGAGUUUAGACUCGAAUCUGAGGCAGGCGGUUAAGAGCAGACUGUUGAAUGACAAGCACACUCGAUUGAACAAGCAAGCGGGAAAGUCUGAUGCAGUGUCUUCUGAAGCACCAAUGUAUGAAAUGCUUUUUAUAUUCGUUUUGAAUUGUUUGUAAUGUUUACGUGCGUUUUUUGGUUUCUUCAUUUGCAAAUAAAUUGGUGAAAGAGCAAGCAUCGAUGAAGACUCAUCUUGAUAUUGCGAAUACUAAGCUAAAGAAAUCUAUGGAGCAUAUUCGUGCAUUAGAAGAAAAAUUGCAGAAUGCAUUCAACGAGAAGACGCUCCUUUGGCUGAGCCUUUUAAAUCUAAAGGACUAAAAGUCGUUUCUAUUCUGAUUAGUAUUGGUGUCAUUGCUGGAAUCAAAUAAGCAUAUAAGAAUGGUUUGAAUUUAAGUAUAUUUCAUCUGGUGUUUUUGUUAACAUUUCAUAUGCAAGUUUCUUAUUUUUCUACUAUGGACUGAAGGUACAGUUACCCAAGUCUUUUGAUUAUUUUCCCUCACUUUCACAGAUCUGUUAAAUUUUAUUUUGUUCAUUUUUUUAUAAUAAGGAAUUCAUGGUUGGUUUGCAGAAUCAUGGUUUUUAAUUUUAUGGUUUACUUUAUGCCUUUUGAUGUUUAGGGUUCGGAUUAUUCUUUUUAAUUCUAUAGGUUCGGAUGAAGAAUAGUUGAAGGUGUUAACUUUCCAUAGGAAUGGGUGCGCGUAUCAGCCGAUGGUUUGGUGAUAUUUAAUGGGAACUUCGAAGCUACUGAUGUUGCCAAUGCAGUUCUGGAUGGAACAGACUGUGUGAUGCUUAGUGGUGAGACAGCUGUUGGAGCUUAUCCAGAACAAGUGAAUGUCUCGGGUUUAACCCCGUGACCCUACCCCUGAUAAUAACUGAACUGACUUAACAUGACGAUUAUUGUUGAUGAAUGACAUUGGAUAUUUGAAUUUUACAGUGCUGUGACUAAAUUGAAAUCGGAGAAGAAACCGAAAACCGAAACUCCUAAUGCUAUCAGAUUCUCCCUCCGAACCAGAGCCGUGGCAACAGAUUAUGUAGUUGGAGAUGAAAAGGGUUGGACACUUGGAGUUGAUUAUCAAGCUUGGGCUGCAAACAAGGCCUUUCAUCUUGGAGACACACUCAUACGUUGCUGGUAAGGACAGUGUGGUGAGAGUAAAUGGAAGUGAUUUUCAGAGUUGCUCAUUUCCUUGGGCAGCACCAGUGUUGGGUAGUGGAAAUGAUAAAGUGGUAUUGACAACAUAUGGAAGAAGAUGGUACAUUUCAGGUUUUGCUAACCACUGCAAAAAUGGACAAAAGCUUGUCAUAACUGUCUUGCCAUGACAACAAUCACCUUAGUCUCCAAUACCUUUACCUUCACCUUCAGCCUUGCCUGUGCCUGCCCCUGAAGCUGCACCGACUCCUAAUGCACCAUGGACCGCCACUGUUCCCCGUCGAUCCAUGCUUCCAAAGAAGCUAUUCAAAAUGAUUCACAGAAAUAUGAUGGCUGUUUGAGAUUGGAUGUUACCUGAAAGAGGGGUUGUUUUUGUACUGUAACUUAAGAGCAAAUUUCAGCCUCUUUUGCAUUUGUUGGUGCGAGCCUGAAUGAUUUAUUUUCAGGACUACAUCAUGUGGAGUUUGUUAGAAAUUUGUCCGGAUAAGUUCACAUCUGCUCAGGUCUUUUGGGACUGGUGUGAAGAGCUUCGGAUACGGCAGGUUAUUUUAUUUAGACACCAGUUAGCAUGAUGUAUAUGGCUGCUGAGAUAAUGUGACGGUCAUUGAAUCCGAAUGGAAUCGUCCCUGUUUCGAUUAAUGUCUGAACUGAGUUGCAGAGCGGUUCAGCUGGGUCUGGAAAUGUUGCCGCAGGAUUCUCGGUUUGAUUUUUGCGCUGCAACUUGGCUUCUCAUGUGCCGGUUCAUGGUCAACAAUGUUGGAGAAGAUGAAAAUAUCGCCGGCAUUUUGGCUGUGAUAUGCAGAUAUUGAUUUGGAAAAAGUUAAGGAGAACAUACUCUCAUUACCAAAAUAUUCUAACUUUUGCAUGAUAGAGUUUUCUGAUAUCAGUGGUUCAUGAAGAUUUUUAGAAUCCACAAGAAUAUUCUUGCAAAGAAUGUUAAAUGUUCAGUGUGAUGCAAAAUGUAAGAUGUUUCUCUUCACUAACUAUCAUCAUGAAUUUGAAAAUAACUUGAUCAAACUAGCCUCACAUUCUUCAAAAACAACUGAAAAGGAACAAAUGUGCUAACACACAAUCAUUUAUGCUCUUUUCAUGAUUUUGAUCGGAAGGAGAGCAACCGACUAAGACCACCAAAUACAUUAAUCAUUUCCAUCCAUGAACGUGUAAUUGAUAAUUGCACCACUGAGUGAAGACUAAUGGCGUAUUAUAAAACUAAUAUCCUACUUACCCCAGUUCUUUGUUGGUUCAGUCCUCCACUUGCUGCAAUAAGCAAGUAGCCAUUUCACAUGCGCUUACGUAUAGCAGUUGCAUUAUCCAAUUACCAUUGUGAGAUAGAAAGUGACAUGUAGAAAAAUUAAAUGAUUCAUUCCGAUAUUAACAAAUUGUCUAGAGGUAACAAAGUAUAAGAUGAAACACUUAAAUUUUCUCAGUCAUCUAAUGGAAGGGGCCAUGAAAGCCUCUUACAACUGGAACAAUUAUACACACGCUAUAAUUAGAAAGAAACAUUCAUUAAUCAAGAUAUAUUUGAUAAGUGCUAAAGGAAUAAGGACAA
This is a long non-coding RNA of Vicia villosa (hairy vetch), 3567 nucleotides long. RefSeq lists it as uncharacterized. NCBI's taxonomy places the organism in Eukaryota, Viridiplantae, Streptophyta, Magnoliopsida, Fabales, Fabaceae. The record is from RefSeq and is a predicted model, not a curated record. The transcript is spliced from 11 exons.